UCCACCUACAUCCACACCUCCACCUACAUCCACACCUCCACCUACAUCACUCUCUCGUCCUGCUCUCUCUGUGUUGUCAUUUGUUGGUUCAGUCUGUGUUGUGGUUCUACUGGUGUUACUGGUUCUGUUGGUGAAAAAAGAUGUUCAUGGGAAAUCUGAAGCAAAUCAAAAAGAAGCUGGAGAAGAUGACAUCAUCACUCAUGUCAUGUACAUUUCAACAUCAGGUCAUCAGCAACAUCCAGUCGGACAAAGCAAAGAGACUGAUUCAGCUGUGGUCUACUCAGCAGUGAGAACUGAAGACGUCAGUUAUAGAUAAGCAUCCAUCAGAACAAGGAAGCCCCAGUACAGCUGCUCUUUCUCUUUGACUUUAUGAUCUCAGAUUUCUCACCUCUGUCAGAAAUAAAGUGUUUCCUGUGAAGUUGACAGUUCCUUUAAAGAGACAUGAGCAGCAGAGUUUUAGGGCAGUUAUAGAUCUGUGUUCCUCUUUGUACUCACACAAAAUAAAACUAAUUUCUACGCAGAGUUUAUUUUAUGUCACA
Molecule: long non-coding RNA, 539 nt
Organism: Oreochromis niloticus (Nile tilapia)
Lineage: Eukaryota; Metazoa; Chordata; Actinopteri; Cichliformes; Cichlidae
Exons: 3
Source: RefSeq, a predicted model, not a curated record